Pseudovibrio sp. FO-BEG1 is the source of this 160-nucleotide non-coding RNA. The record is from Rfam. Lineage: Bacteria; Pseudomonadati; Pseudomonadota; Alphaproteobacteria; Hyphomicrobiales; Stappiaceae.
GCGUUGCUGCGCGGUUCGUCAGGAGACACAUAUCCCCGGGGCCUUACGCAUUCCUUAGGGAGCUGUUCCUUCCCUCGCUCGUGGGCUUGGGGACACGGCGCCCACCUACAUUGUAGGUUCUCCGGGAUUGCACAUUCUCCAACGGCUGUUGUGGCACGCC